GGCCAGCCACUCAGCAACGUCCUGGGGCCAGUACCAAGGCCAGACCGAUUAGAAUGCUCAUGAGGAACUAAAUGGCCAUAUCUUCAAUGCAUUAUACUUCGAUAAUGACCAUCAAGAACCAGAAGGCCCUAUUAUAAAAUCAUUAGUUGUAAAAUUAAUGAUGGUGACCUUCUACUAAAUGAAAAGACCCUAUCUCUUUAUGUCCUGUGUAUUAACUGGUAAAUAAAUAUAAAUUUUUACUCAAUGACCAUCAUAAGCAUAUUUAGAAGAGAACAUAUUGCUUUAAAAAUGCUCUUGCAAUAUGAAAUGAAUUUGCUUAUUAAUAUCUGCUCAAUAUAAACCUAAAAAGUUACUCUCCAGCAGUAAUCAGUAAAAUUACUUUUUAAAAGUUUUUACAGUUUUUGUUACCUAAGAAAGUUGAUUAACCAGACUAAAAUAAUUUUUUUAGGAAGGGAUUUAUUUUCACUAUUCUUUUGACUGGCUUUUACUUGAUAGUCCUAUAUGAAGAAAAAAAUCCCUUCUGGGGAUUCUCCCUAUGGGGGAAAUUGCAUUUUUAAAAAAUGUCACAAUUACUUUCUUGAAAAAUAAAUUAAUAUAUACAUGUGAAGUUGAAUUUCACCUUACAUAAGAGAUAAUAUAAUUCUAGUGUUUUAUCAUAUAGAAAUAUUUAUCAAAACCUUUAAUUCUUUGUAUUUAGACACAAUAAAAUGCUAAAUAUAAUUAACAUUCUGGAAUAUUACUGUAGGAGGAGCCAUAAGAAAAAGAUUAUCUUUCGUAUUUGAAUUUCCAUAGUUUUUCCUCAGAAUUUCCAUACUUUUUCCUCACUUGCAAGUUCUGAAAAUAGGUUUAUAUAUAUAUAUGUGAAUAAAUAAAAUCAUGCAUUUAGAGACACCAGUAAAAACAGAAGCAGCACAGUUUACCAGACCAGUAAGGCAGCAAGCAUGCUAACAUAGGGACGUCUUUGCCUGUCCUGUCGACCAUGGCUUGUGCACCUCUCCACACAGCUUUCCCAAACUAGUCUGCCCACACCAACCUGCACAGAGCACGUACCAUGUGCAGUUGGCUCUGCUUGGGGUCCUGGAUUACACAUCUUCUUACCUACCUGGCUUUCUUCUAAGUCUUUACCGUUUUAGGACAGAUUAAGCCAAUAGACAGCAAUUUCAUGACUUUAAUGCCUUUUCUUUCUUUUGAAAGAUUACUUUUAUUGCCAUCAUUGCUAGAUUUUUGUCAAUCUGGCAAAAAAUGGGACCUCAGUAGUUUGCUGUCUUGUAAGUGAAGCUGAAUCUUCAUUUAAAAGCAAGUCUGUCUUCUGUGAUCUUUCUUUGCAUGUCUUUUGCUAUUUGUCUACAGAGAUAAUGGUGUUUUCCUCUUCCUUUCACAGGAGUUCUACAGAUAGUGAGGAGAUUAGCCCUUUGUGAUACGAAUGGCAAAUACGUAUUCCCAGUUUGUCAUUUCUUUUAUGAGUCUUUGCAUUUAUGGCUUCUGUGUUUUGAGUCAUAGUUACAAAGGCUUUCAUGGUUUUAGUUUUUACAUUUAACUAGUAUUUAUUUUUGGGGAAUACAUCCUGACAGAUGGUAUAGGUUGUAAGAUGUUUUACAUUUUAACUUUAAUAGCUAAUGUCAUACCUUGGUAAUACUUUUCUCUGCAUUUAUUUAAUUAUCGGCAAGGCAGAAUAUUAUUCUCUGCAUUUGUUUUCUGUUUGUAUUUCAUCUUGGAUGAAUAGUCUUUACCUGUGUUUUAAAUGUUAGUCUUCGGGAUCUCAAUCCUUUUCUUGCCAAAUGCAAAUGUCCCUUAUAUAGCACAAAUGGGAUUAGGGUAUUUAUUGCAAAUGUUUUUCCCCAGCCUAAUUUUGUCUUUUUAUAUUUCUAUGUUCCAUGGAUUUUUAGUUUUUUUACACAUUAUUUACCUUUUUAAAAAAUGAUUUUAAUUCUUUACAGCACCUAAACCAGUAAGCAAGGUUGGACCUUAAAUAGUUGCAGAAAUUCUUUUAGACAGUGAUAACUGCCUUAGCUAUUUUACUUCUAUAGCAGUUAUGACCUAGUUUCUUUAAAAUUAGUGAAAUAAAAUGAUGGUAAGCAACGAACGACAGAAAAGAAUCUUCUAAAAGAAACCCAGGAUAUUAUUACCACGAGCCUUUGUACGGAUGUAACCCAGGCCAUCCACAUGUGUCCUUGAUUACAAGUCAUACCAAGGAGAGGAAUAAUAAUGAAAAUCAUUAAUUUUUUAAAAUGUCAUUUGAUCCUUAAAAUGAUCCGUGGAAUCAACAUACUGUAAUCCUAAAUGUUAAAGGUGGUGAAUAUGUUUAUAUCCUUGAUUUGUUUAUUACGCACUGUACCCCACAAGGAUGUAUGAUUAUAUGUAAAUCAUAAAUCAGAAUAUUAAAAAUAAUCUGUGAAGUAGUGUUAUUGGUAUGAAGAAGAAAUAGGUUCUCUGUGGCACGCAGAACCCUACAGAUGUCAGAAGCCUAGAUACGCUAUUGCCUGAACCUCCAUCCACAGCAGAGGAGCCGUCUCUACAUCUCAGACAUCACAUGUACGUACAACACGGAAGGAAGGUAACAGUCUAGAACUGGUGUUACCUUCCGUUCAACAAGAGCUGCUCUACAAACAGGAAAACCUCCUGGUGUGGAUCUUUUCAAACUAAAGCAGUCAUCUUUGCUACCUACAUCUCUAAGCCAAAAUUGACCAGUAAAAAAUUCACAACAUUUCAAAUUACUCCACUUUUGGUAUGGGGGAGAAAUGUACACUGUAGUUCACUUUAAAACCCCAUUUCGUAUAGAGGUAUGCUUUAGUAAAAUCCAUCUAUUUUCACUUUGGACACAAGUUUUGAAAAAUGGAUGGGCCCACCUAGCCACCCUUCACAACCAAGACAGGACAUUUCUAUCAAGCCAAAAGCUCCUCCUGUUCCCUUGCAGUCAGCCGCCCACCACACGCCUGGGCUUAGGCAUCUGGUGAUCUGCUGUCACUAGAGAA
This is a long non-coding RNA of Tupaia belangeri chinensis (Chinese tree shrew), 2972 nucleotides long. RefSeq lists it as uncharacterized. The record is from RefSeq and is a predicted model, not a curated record. The transcript is spliced from 2 exons. NCBI's taxonomy places the organism in Eukaryota, Metazoa, Chordata, Mammalia, Scandentia, Tupaiidae.